This 240-nucleotide unclassified non-coding RNA is filed under the name soil metagenome. RNAcentral's name for it is "partial contains 5.8S ribosomal RNA, internal transcribed spacer 2, and large subunit ribosomal RNA". The record is from RNAcentral.
AACACUGUUAACCUGCGGUACCUGCGGAGGGAUCAUUAUAGUAUAUGGAAUCUCCAUUCUAUAAACCCACUCUGCGUAUCUUGUAACUGUUGCUUCCAUGGGACUUGGUUCCGCCACACCGGCUUCACGGCCGGUGAGCGCCCAUGGAAGGAGAAACAAAACUCUUCUUUGAAAUGUAGUCAGUCUGAACAAGUUUUUAUAAACGUUAAAACUUUCAACAACGGAUCUCAGAUCGGAAGA